CCUACGGGAGACAGCAGUGAGGAAUAUUGGUCAAUGGGCAUAAGCCUGAACCAGCCAAGUCGCGUGAGGGAUGAAGGUUCUAUGGAUCGUAAACCUCUUUUAUAAGGGAAUAAAGUGCGGGACGUGUCCCGUUUUGUAUGUACCUUAUGAAUAAGGAUCGGCUAACUCCGUGCCAGCAGCCGCGGUAAUACGGAGGAUCCGAGCGUUAUCCGGAUUUAUUGGGUUUAAAGGGUGCGUAGCCGGCCUUUUAAGUCAGCGGUGAAAGUCUGUGGCUCAACCAUGGAAUUGCCGUUGAAACUGGGAGGCUUGAGUAUGUUUGAGGCAGGCGGAAUGCGUGGUGUAGCGGUGAAAUGCUUAGAUAUCACGCAGAACCCCGAUUGCGAAGGCAGCUUGCCAAGCCAUGACUGACGCUGAUGCACGAAAGCGUGGGGAUCAAACAGGAUUAGAUACCCGUGUAGUC
This 460-nucleotide ribosomal RNA is filed under the name uncultured bacterium. RNAcentral describes it as "partial 16S ribosomal RNA". It matches the Rfam family "Bacterial small subunit ribosomal RNA", at positions 338 to 795 of the family's 1533-position model. The record is from RNAcentral.